This 1291-nucleotide long non-coding RNA is filed under the name Pandoravirus neocaledonia. RNAcentral describes it as "hypothetical ncRNA". The record is from RNAcentral.
CGCAAAGGCCGUUGGCCUGCGCAGCGAGCCGUGCCGCGCACUCGCCCCAUUCCUCUGGGAUUGAUGGGAUCAUGUCGGCAUGACGAUGUGCCCAUAUAGGAUGGCGCCGGCGACAACGAGAAAGGCGAUAAAAACGACGCCAAUGGCCGACGCGCGUCGCGCAUUGUGCGGCAACAACACAGGACGCACACGGGCGAUUUUUUCAGCGCACAACGUUGACACCGUGUCGAGGCACCGCCGAGGCACCUGUGCGGCGAUGGAUAGCACUAUUUCCGCCGCCAUGAUCGCCAGCGUCCUCUUUGCGCCCAUCUCCACGAUAAGCAGCCCCAUUUCGGUACACCGAUCGAGGGUAUAGUUCUCUUGAAAGUUGUUGACCACGCGCUCGAUGACGGUGCGCUGGCUGCUACGCGCUGCAACCCACGCGAGCGACCCCGCUGCUUGGCGCGAAACCAGGUAAUCCAAGAGGUGGCGCCUAUAGUGCGCCGACAUGACGCGCGUCGGGGCGCUGCACCCGUUGGCAGUCAUCCAAUCGAUCAGAUCCGGGCGGUCCAAGCAAAGGCAGGUGAACGCCACAGACGGCGAACACGAGCACGGGCGUCGAGGCACAUGGUCGUGCAGCGCGGCCAGCAGCUUGUCGGCGUCGCGGCCCGUGGCAACGGCGCUCGUACACAGCGCACUCAUGAGCGCUUGAUUAAAGAGCGGACGGGGCGAGGCGAAGCGCGACGCCGCAUAAAAGUCGAGCAGCCACACGAGGCUGCGCAUGCGGCCGCCCGACGAUGCCUCUGUGAGCAGUGUGCGCGCCUCGCCGUAAAGGCGCCGCCAGCGCGCGCGACCUACGGUCGCCCAUGAUUCGGCGGUGAUGUCGUCUGCAUGGUCGACACUGGCCAGGGAGUGGAUGUGUGCGAGAACCUCGGGGCGAUCGCCGUGCGCCGCUGCAAUGAGCCACGGAAACGGAACCGGCAGAGGCGAUGCAUUGCGCGUGUCGGCCUCACAAUUGCGAGACAACAUGGCGCGCACGACACACAUUGGCGCGCCGGCCGCCAGGAAGGUCGUGGGCGUUGCCAAAGCGCGUCUAGAUAUGGCGUACGUCGUGUCGGCGCCCAACGCCACUUGGCAAGACACGAGGUCCUUGGCGCGAGGGAGGUGGUCUUGUACGAGGUCGAUGAUCUCUGCGGGCAUGUCUGCCAAGGAGGGCGAGUCGACGGUACCCAUACGGGCCGCGUUGUACCGAGACACAAUGCAGUUCUUUUGUCUGUUUCUUUUUUUUUUCUUAAUAUGCCUUUGCCUGUCG